Molecule: ribosomal RNA, 500 nt
Filed under: uncultured bacterium
Lineage: Bacteria
Description: partial 16S ribosomal RNA
Rfam family: Bacterial small subunit ribosomal RNA
Source: RNAcentral
AUUGAACGCUGGCGGCAGGCCUAACACAUGCAAGUCGAGCGGAUGAAGGGAGCUUGCUCCCUGAUUUAGCGGCGGACGGGUGAGUAAUGCCUAGGAAUCUGCCUGGUAGUGGGGGAUAACGUUCCGAAAGGAACGCUAAUACCGCAUACGUCCUACGGGAGAAAGCAGGGGACCUUAGGGCCUUGCGCUAUCAGAUGAGCCUAGGUCGGAUUAGCUAGUUGGUGAGGUAAUGGCUCACCAAGGCGACGAUCCGUAACUGGUCUGAGAGGAUGAUCAGUCACACUGGAACUGAGACACGGUCCAGACUCCUACGGGAGGCAGCAGUGGGGAAUAUUGGACAAUGGGCGAAAGCCUGAUCCAGCCAUGCCGCGUGUGUGAAGAAGGUCUUCGGAUUGUAAAGCACUUUAAGUUGGGAGGAAGGGCAGUAAGCUAAUACCUUGCUGUUUUGACGUUACCGACAGAAUAAGCACCGGCUAACUUCGUGCCAGCAGCCGCGGUAA